UGUUUUCUCCCCCGCCCCCGGGCACGCAGCGAGAGCUGAGGCUGCCGGAAAGCUCGGCCGGCACAGGGCGCGGGGGAUCGAUGACUCGGCCGGUGGGCACGGCUACCUGGGUGAGGGGCAGCGGAGGGAGGGGGCGGCGGAGCGCCGAUGUCAUGGAUGGGCUCGGAGGGCCUGGCGGGAGGGGGGCGCCAGUGUUCAGGGCCGUUUCGGUGGCUAGGCGGGAUUGGCCGGAGCCGCGGUAAUCGCGCUCGCCUCGCCGACCGCCAUUUCACAUUCUGCGGAGUAGGCGGGGGCAGCCGCGGAAACGGCUUUUUACAAGGUGCUUUUGAAGUAAAGACCUGAUGGAAGUGACAAGCCAGCCUUGAGGAGGUCUGAGGGACAGCUUUCAAGACAAGGGGUCCUGAGAUGAGAGGGUGCCUGGUGUGUCUGAGGAGCAGCCUGGAGGUCAGCUGGGGGCUCAGCUCUGUGCAGCUUCACUCUGGGACCCAGGCUGCCCGGAGAAUCCCCAUCUGGAGCAUGGCCAGUCUCUGUGGGAGAGGGAGAAGAUAGAGUGGUGAACUGCGCACUGGCUUAUGCCCGAAAGGGACACACGACCCUUCUCCUCACGGGGCACUGGACAAAGUCAGUCAGGUGGCUGCACCCAACUUCAAAAGUAAUUCCUGGGUACACAUAAGGACUACUUCAUGUGACUUUUGAGAAUCUUCAAAUUUGGCAAAAUCACAUAGCACAUAACCUCCCUCCAAAAUGAGUUGAGAGUUGAAGAGCCAAGUGGAGAGAUGGAUGCUGGGUGGUCAGCUUGAUUCAUGGACCAUCUAAGGGACAUCUCUCCCACACUGGCCUAAUAUCCAGUCUCUCUUAGGGUUUUGAUCCAUGUUACUUUAUAAAACCAGAAAAAUGAGCUUCAUAAUUACAAGCAAAACAGGAGCUUCUGACUGAGUCAUCCCAACCUCAUCCCACUUCUCUGUGAACCUCAGGUACCACUACCAAGAAACUUAGCUAUACAACACAAGAUCUGUCCUCAGUAUACGCUGGUAUAGUGGUGUGUCACCAAUUCUCCUAAAAGUAGGUUGAAUAGAAAUCUUAAUAAAUACAAUAAAAUAACAUUAUGGUGUUCUUCUGAAUAGUUUCCCCUCUUUCUGCUCACCCUGUCUUCCCAUCACAUGGUUCUCCCCAUUCACCACCACCCAUUAAAUGGCCACUAGAGCGUCCUACUACACCUGGGCCUUCUCUUAUGUCUUCUCCAGCUUAGGAAAGUGCAGGUUGAAUGCACAGUUUGCCAACUACCGUAAUGGAAUGAAUAAAUAAAGGUCAUUGCUGUUUUUUGUUUUUUUGUUUUUUUUUCCUUGGCCGCACUGCACAGCUUGCGGGAAUCUCAGUUCCCCGAUCAGGGAUUGGACCCGGCCCACUGCACUGAAAGCCCAGAAUCCUAACCACCAGGCCACUGGGGAACUCCUUAUUGCUGUUUUUAAAAACUGUAUAUUUUUGGUAUUUGUAAUCAAAAGCAUUCGUUCAUUCAAAACAUCUUCUUGAACUCCUACCAUGUGCCACUUCCUCUUCUAAGCACUGCAGACACAGCCAUGAAUAGAAUGUGGAAGUAAUACAUAUUGUUGAAAACUGGGAGAGCAUAGAAAAGUAUUAAGAAAAGAUAAACUUUCCACUAACUCACCACUGAAACAUAACUGCUAGUAACAUGUUGGUGCCCUGUCUUUUUCCAAGCAUACAUAUUGUUCCUCCUUGCUCUUUCGAAUAAAAUUUACAACUCUGGACUUAUACAGUACAUUUUUUUCUUUAAAAAUUAUUUCUUCUUAUAAAAAUAAAUCAUAGCAGAUGCUCAGUAAGUAUUUGUUGAAUGAAUAAAUUAAUUAUAGAAACAGUAAAUUACAGAGAAGCAAAAAAUUAAAAAUGAAAGUCAUCAAUAAUAUCACUACUAAGAGAUAGUAUCACUAGUAAUAGUUUGGGUUGUUCAGUAUGGUUUUGAAUAAUCAACAUAUUUUUACAACAUCGCUCCACAAUGAUUAUUUUGUAAAUGACAACUUUCUCUUUUUUCCUAAUUACAAAAGUAACAUGCCAUUGUAGAUAUUUUGGAAAAUAUUGAAAACUACAAAAGGAAAAACCAAAAGUUAUUUGUAGUCCCACUGCCCUGAGACUACUGCUAUUAAUAUUCUCCAAUUGGGCUUCCCUGGUG
Aethalodelphis obliquidens (Pacific white-sided dolphin) is the source of this 2185-nucleotide long non-coding RNA. RefSeq lists it as uncharacterized. The transcript has 4 exons. The record is from RefSeq and is a predicted model, not a curated record. NCBI's taxonomy places the organism in Eukaryota, Metazoa, Chordata, Mammalia, Artiodactyla, Delphinidae.